Molecule: long non-coding RNA, 400 nt
Filed under: Prunus persica (peach)
Lineage: Eukaryota; Viridiplantae; Streptophyta; Magnoliopsida; Rosales; Rosaceae
Description: long non-coding RNA (PPER_LNC003214)
Source: RNAcentral
AUUAAUCUGUGGCAUGCCUGCAGCAUGACAAAUAUAUGAGUUCUAAAUGUUCCAACUCCUUGAAUGGAGAUUAUCCACCCCUACUAUAAAAUAACGCUCUAUUGAGGUUAAGAUCUACAUUCUCACAUAAUGAAAUAAGAGAUGUCUGUCUGGAAAGAGACAAUAAAGCCCCUUAAGUGGCUUGGGUACCCAAAAACAAAGAAAUGUUCAUAAUUGAUGCAUGCGCAUGCACAUGAGAAUGGUGGGAUCACGAAUUGAUGAAUGAUAAUUUUUGGUUUUGGAGUAGCUACUCAAAUCAUCAAUGGACUGUGUUGAUUGGAACCACUUUCUAUUAUCAAAUGUCGACAAUAUCAUUGGCCAAAAAUAGAAAGAGGCAAUUCCAUUACAGAUGAGAAUGAAU